GACGUAGGGCGCGAGCGUUGUCCGGAUUUAUUGGGCGUAAAGAGCUCGUAGGCGGCUUGUCGCGUCGACCGUGAAAACUUGGGGCUCAACCCCAAGCCUGCGGUCGAUACGGGCAGGCUAGAGUUCGGUAGGGGAGAAUGGAAUUCCUGGUGUAGCGGUGAAAUGCGCAGAUAUCAGGAGGAACACCGGUGGCGAAGGCGGUUCUCUGGGCCUUACCUGACACUGAGGAGCGAAAGCGUGGGGAGCGAACAGG
This 253-nucleotide ribosomal RNA is filed under the name uncultured bacterium. RNAcentral's name for it is "partial 16S ribosomal RNA". It matches the Rfam family "Bacterial small subunit ribosomal RNA", at positions 524 to 776 of the family's 1533-position model. The record is from RNAcentral.